Long non-coding RNA from Peromyscus eremicus (cactus mouse), 812 nucleotides. RefSeq lists it as uncharacterized. The record is from RefSeq and is a predicted model, not a curated record. Lineage: Eukaryota; Metazoa; Chordata; Mammalia; Rodentia; Cricetidae. The transcript is spliced from 4 exons.
GUUACCAAUACUCCUGUUGAUAGAGUGUGUCUGACCCCAAUGGACCACAGAAAUCUUCCACAAAAGCUCCUGACUUAUCCAAUAUAGACAAUGAUGCAGAAAAAAUUGUAGUGAUGCAUCAGGAGAGAACAUCCAUCAUGGAAGACCAAGAGCAUACCUCAGAAGAGCAGAGGCCGCACAGUGCUAGAAAAACUAAGCGGCCAUUUAUUGAUGCUAUAAGAGCAUGCUUUUGUGCAUGUUUCACCAAAAAACGGAGCUCUUCUUCCCACUACAAGAAAUAGAAGAGAAAACAUAAAAAAGUGAUGAACUUGGACAAGCCUACGACAAUUGCCUGACAACUUCUCCGACCAUCCACAAUAAGACAACUCAGGAGAAAAUCUGUCUCUUCUCCAAUAAUUGCUUUAAGAAAAAGCACAUUUUUAUUUUAUGUUUUAGAAUAAUAUAGUAUUAUAUUACAUAUUCUUCAGUGUUAUUUUCACCUGUUUAUUUUGUUUUAUUAUGUUAUAGUAUAUUACACUAUUAUAUUAUCUUCAGUUUUUAUUUCCAUAAGUUUAUCUUGUUUUAUUAGAUUAUGUUAUAUUAUGUUAAUAUAUUAUGCUUUCUUCAGUGUUUAUUUUACAUUUACCUUCCUUCCCUUGAUGUAAAUAGUUCAUGUAUAUGUGUACAUAUGUAUAUAUGUAUAUAUGAUUAUAUGUAUAUAUGUUUAUGUGCUUUGUAAUAUAUUUUUAGAAGAUACCAUUUUUGAAUGUACAAAGUUAUUGAAUAAUUAAUUAAUAAUAAUUAAAUAAUAAUAAUUUAAUUACCCAUUCAAA